UCGUAUAGGCCUAGAGUCAUAACAAAUAUUUUAUUUCAUAUUUUCAAGUAAAGAUUAUUUAAGUGAAAUUGAUGAGCUGAAAUGCACUGUCUUUUCCUUUUUAUAUACCAAAAACUUUUCUAGUGGACCUUAUCAGUUGUCACAAAUAUUAAAAAGCUUUCGAUUAGUCUGAUGAGAAACAUUUUCCUCCAAAAAAAGCCUAGUGGAAACAUGCCAAGUUAGUUAAUGGAUAGAAUGUGUGUAUGAUAAUUCUAAGCAGGAGAUUUUGUUCCUUUGUUCUGUCAACCUCGAACAAUGAUACUCUUUUUAUUUUAAAGGAUUGGAUAUUAGUAGAUCUUCACACUUAUGAUCUUUUUUGCAGGUGUGCUUAAACAAAAAAGACCAUGUCAUAAAAUUUAUUGAAGAGAAUUUCAAAAUCAAUUCUUUGGAGAGAUCAAUCUUAGUUUGUGGAGAUUGUAACUGGAGAGACAGCACCUCAGCCCUGUUAUUUGCGUGCUUCAUGUUCUGUUUCCAGAAGUUAUUCAAGAAUCUGUGUGAUAAACAAGUUUUCUUUAUGAUAUAUGUGGAAGUGGAAGUAUAUAAGAGUAUAUUAAGGUAAAUUAAGGUAAAUGCCGUGAAAUAAGCUUUAACGUGUAAGAUCAUUCAACUUCUAUUUUUCUAAAAUUACUUCUUGAAGAGUUUAUAUAGAAUUGACUCUAAUCUUCAAUGUCCUCUAAGCAAAGCGGUAAUUUAUUACUGACUUUCAGCACAGUUUUGUAGCUUCUAUGACUAAUAAUUCGUGCAAAUAUAUAUUCUUUUCAUUGGAAGAAUUAUUGACAUAACCUAAAAAACAACCAUUUAUCAUAGGAAAACAUCAGAAGCUGCUGUAGUAUAUCAAAAGUCUGGCCUAUUACCUUCAAAUGUCUUAUCAAUCAUAAAGCUCAAUUUUAAGAAUAAAUAAAAAUUUACCAGCUUCACUUAUCUUUUGUCGAACAUUAGAUUUUAGAUGUCAGUUUGCAAAUGAGGUGAACAGGCAUAGCAGUGAAGUGUUUAUCAUCCUGUGUAAGCUUAUUUGUACAAAAAAAUGGACAUAUCUAGUCAACAAAACUAUAUAUAACUCAAUGAAAUGUUGCAUGCUUUUACCAAACCACUUAAUGUCUACACUUUCUGCUUAUAAUAUACAUUUAACAGACCACAUGUAACAGGUAGCUGUUAAACAAGAGAGAAAAGCAAAUUAAUAUAAUAUCGUUGAAAUAUUUUUGUCAGCAAUUUCUGUUGCAAGUAAUUUACAACACAACCAAACACAGCCAGGGCAUUCAUACUGCCUUCACAAGGCGCUUCAUCGUAGAGCAGCCCCCAUUGCUCCUAGUGCAGCUUCCCUCUUCAUCUCAGCAGUCUUACCCCCGCCACGGAAGUACAUAUAUACUUGCUGUAUGCAACCAAAGCAAAAAAUUAGCACGUUACAGGCACUUUAGUUAUGUGCAUUCUUAGUGAUAGGUGCAUCCACUUCAAGAAAUAUGCUAACAUAUUGGAAAGUUUAAUCAAACCUGAAUAACCCAGACGCUGAUUAAUGUUUCAAGACAGAACAAUCCAAAUCCAACGAAGUAGAAAAUCUACAAGAAAGUGGACAUAACGCCGUUAAGCAGAAAUAUUUUCAUUUCUUAGAUUUUGCAUUAUUUGCUUUAGAACUGUAAUGUGGCUCAUGAUGCAAAUGUUAAUUUGGCAUAGCAUGUGUAAAAUCGUCAAAGCAAUGGCAAUCCUCAACAAAUAUCAAACAGAAUGCAGGAAUAAUAUAUAUACUUCAGGAGAGACAUACUUACCCCAAUCAAAGUAUGGUCACCAAUCACAUCUAUGGCUGACAGAAUGCCUCUGUAUCAAUGAGAAGAUAUUACCAAGCAUUAGGCCAAAUAAAUGAGAAUGACCAUUUUUACCAACAUGCCUACCAGUCUGACUUUCUUAGUUAUUCUAGGAUCAUGUAAGACUUCAGCUCAGGUAUAUUUUGUGUAGAGUAAUUAAUUAUCUACAUGUUCUAGGUUCAAUUCAUGACAAAUACUAUAGUUUGUUUUUCAAAGAUACUUCUUUCACUUCUAUUAUAGAAAACAUCAAUAAAUGCCUUUUUCCAACUGAUUAGGGUUGAGCACAUAGAUCAAAUAGCACCUUUGUGUUAAAAAUCAAGUUUGUGGAAAGGCAGUUUAAAAUCAUCAAUCUCCAGGUACACGAUAAAACCCUAUGUAUAAGCAUUAAGGAAUAUGCAAAAGUGUCGUAUUAAAUAAGGUGUGUAUAUAUGAAGUCAACAUACGUCAGGGAUUUUCCUUUGAAAACUAUAGGAGAAGCAACUGCAGCUAAGAUACAGAACCCAAGGUGAAGCUGUAAGCAGAAAAAGAAAUGAGGCUGAUUAAAAUUUGCUGAAUACAUAAAACAAAGCUAACGUACAAAAAGGAAAAUAGUCAAUUUACCUAGUAAAACAGGAAAAAUCGUCCAAAUUUAAUAGCACUAUCCGUCCUGCAAAAGUAACAAUGCAACAAAUCCACAAUCAAGAGAGUAUUCAAAUCAGAAAGAUAGCACUAUUAAAUUUAAUAGCACUAUCAAUAAACAACCUCAUCUUUCCAGAAAUGGAUGACAGAACAAUGUAAUAGACCUUCAAAUAGUUCGACUUAAUAGAAAAUAAAAUAAAACAAAAUAGAAAAUAAAGUAAAACCCUAUCCCCUUUGGUACAGAAGAAAUUCCAAUGCAUUAGUUCAUUUAACUCAUCAAAUCAAAACAGUAUUUUCACCCAAACUUAGAAGAACUAAAUGGAAAAUGCUUUCAUCAUGUCAUUGCAUACUCACAAAACAGGUUUUAUAUAUAUAUUAGGGGCAUGGAAAACAAAAAGGAGCCAACUUUCAAUACUUAUCAGUAUACUAAGAUGUAAAGCUUGCAAUUGACACCAUUUAAAAGCAAUGCUGCACCCUCUUGUUUGUUUAUUGAGUGCUACCUCGCUCUGUGUGGUGUGAGCCAAUAAUCAUCCCCACAAAAAGAAAACAAGAUAGGACAACUUACCCAACAACGAACUAAAUGCAACAUAUUGAAGUCUUUGAAGGUGAAUUGGAAUCUCAUUUGGGAUAUCGUGAUGGAUAAUUGGGAAAAAUGGUGGCCAAUUCUUCUCCUCAAUAACAAUUCCAGCUGCAAAACAAAGUGAAUACAUGCUAAGGAUAAAAGCAGAACUAAAGAUAUUGAUUGUCAAGUUAAAGCAUUAGUUCAAACUUUCCUAGGAGAUAAGUGCCCAAAUCACGGGUAGAAUGAGCCGACUGGUAUAUAUAACGGAAUGCCACUUACCUAUAGAAUCCUCAAGUGGUAGUUUUAUUCGAGCAUUCAAUUGAAUGCAGACACAAAUAGAAAACAACUAAGUUAAGAAAUAAACUUAAUCACAAAUACAGGAAAUGUAAAUUACCUCGUGAAAUGGCUUCUUCUUUCCGUCUGAGUUCCUGCAUUUUGAUAAAUUAAUAGACAUAAAAAUGCAGGUAAUUCCAGGCAUGCUUAUUUAACAAGAAACUAGUACUCAAGGCUUCAUAUACACAAAGUUAACUGAAAAUGAACUUCACCAUAUACAUUCCAAACAUAUAAUAGGAGACACCAAGAUUUGUAGAGGCUAACACAUGUUAAAGAAUAUCCACUAUUCCAGAGAUCAAUCAACCUUCAUGGUGUCCUCAUGGUGUCCAAUUUUAAAAAAAUAAUAUAGUAACCACAGUUUCAAGCACUACACUUCAGAAAUUUAUUUAUAUAAAAAUAACUUAGUUCAGAUUAAAAAAACAGAGUUGUUAAUUAACAGUAUGUAUUAUUUAUCAAUUAAACAUUGGUCUAGCUAAUUGUUCCUACACGGAAACAUACAAAUUGAAACUUAGCAAAGAAAAUUAGAUUCCACAGUAAAUACUAGUUUUCUCGGGAUAAAACCUGAGAAGACUAAUUGGGUGAUGUAUCAAUACCAUCUUGGCAGUAAUGAAAAAGAAAAAGAUGGAGAAUUAGUUGUUUCAAAAGUCUUUUAUCAAAUACAACCUAAACAUUCUGGUAAUUCUAUUAAUGUAAGAGAUUCAUAUGAAAAAGUAAUUAACAAUGGAACUGAUCAUGGUAAAAAUGCUAAAGUACCCAACAUUUUAGCUCGUGUGAAAUGCUACAAUGCUCAUUAUACAAAUUAUGACCAUGUACAUGUUGGUGGUGAUAGUAAUGAAAGUUCACAACUUAUUCCAAAUUUGGUGAUGGAUCUAUUAAUCGCUAAUCAGUGUAUGCAGACAAAGUAAGAGCACAUAAGAGAAAAUAACAUUUGGAAGAACUUCUUGCUAGAAGUGGAAUAGUGAUUUUAUUACUAGAUAGUUAGCAGUAAAAUAACAACAUUUUUUUUUUUGUUUGUAGAUCAAAUAUAACAACAUUUAUAUACUUGGGAUUGAAAUUAGGAAGAAGUAGGUUGGCUUCUAUAUAUUUGGAAUAUUUUUUUAUACAUUAUAUGGUGACUUAAGUAUAUGGUAUAUACAUAUGUAUUUUUUUUAUACUUAUAUUAUGGUAUAGAAGAACUAUACUAAUAUGGAAUAUAUUCCCAUUGUUAAAAGAAGUAAAAAAAUGUAACACAAAAAAAAAAAAGAUAUUCAAUAACCUUUUAGUAUAUUUUUGGAUGAGAUAAUUAAAUUUUUUAGCAAUUUCAAAUUAUUCAUUUAAAUUUUAUAAUUUUACUUUUUUUAUAAAGUAUUUAAAACUCUUCAUCUCUAUAAAUAAUUUUUUUAAUAGAAAAAUAAUAUAAUAUAAUAUAAUAUAAUAUAAUAUAAUAUAAUAUAAUAUAAUAUAAUAUAAUAUAAUAUAAUAUAAUAUAAUAUAAUAUAAUAUAAUAUAAUAUAGUGAAAUAUUUUUAAGAAAAGUAAAAAUAGUAAGCGUUGUUAAUUCGUAUAUUGAUGUUUCGUUUUCGUAAGGAUUUAACAAAUGGAAUCCACAUUUUCAUUGCAUUAUUAUCAUUUUUUCCGAUAUGGAGAUAUGUUGUUCUCUUUCUCUACUUAGUUUUACUUUUUCACAAUUUUCUUUUAAAAGACUCUUGCAUUCAUUUCGUUUCUUAUAAUUCAUUUUUAACUAUAUAAACAUAAUUAAAUAUUUAAAACCUAUUAAAUUAGAUUAUUUAUUCUAUUCUUAUAAUUUAAAAUUAAAUAAAAAAGAGUAACCGUACUUAAAUAAAAUAAUAAAUAUAACAAUAUUGAUAUUAUUAAAUUAAAUAUUUUAUUUUAAGUUGAAAUUAUUAGUGAUCAAUUUAAUGAUAUUCUAUAACUAUGUGUUCACACGUGCCAAGCAAGAGUGACACAACAUAGUCAACAGUUUGGUAAAGAACCCAUUUGAGCUUAGUGAGUGCUGCAACAAACAAUUGUUCUCUGAUUUGAAAUCACUUCUCUUCUCUUUCUAAAUCAUGGAUGCUGCUGCUGUUGGUGGAGCUUUUCUCUCUGCUUUCCUUCAAGUUCUUCUCGACAGGCUUGCUUCUCCUCAGCUUGUUAACUUCAUCUAUGGAAACAAGGUUGACGCCAAUUUGAUCCAAAGGUUGAAGAACACUCUUUAUGCUGUUGAAGCUGUUCUGAAUGAUGCUGAGCUGAAACAGAUCAAAGACUCUGCUGUUAACAACUGGCUUGAUGAUCUCAAAGAUGCUCUCUAUAUUGCUGAUGACAUUCUCGAUCACAUUUCCACCAAAGCUGCUACUACUCAUAAGAACAAAGAGGUGAGUACUACUGCUUCUAGCUACUUGUCUCGCUUUUUCAACUUUGAAGAAAGGGAUAUGGUUCGUAAGUUGGAAGAUAUAGUUGCUAGGCUUGAAUCCAUUCUCAAACACAAAGAUAUUAUUGGUCUUCAACAUAUUGCAACUCACCACCAUUCUUCUUGGAGAACUCCAUCAACCUCUCUAGAUCAUGGAUCUAACAUAUUUGGUAGAAAUCAAGACAUAGAGGACAUACUCAACUUACUGUUACAUGAUGGUGAUGAUGUUGAUAGUGAUAAAAUUUCUGUGAUCCCCAUAGUUGGCAUGGGGGGUGUGGGAAAAACCACUUUAGCCCAAUCUGUGUACAACCAUCAAAGUAUAAAGCAGAAAUUCGAUGUUCAAGCAUGGGUUUGUGUUUCUGAUGCUUUUGAUGUUUUGAAGGUUACAAAGGCCACUGCAGAGGAGGUUAAAAGUGCUUCUAACACAAAUAAUUUGAAUAUUCUUCAGCAAGAUUUGAAGGAUAAGUUGACCGGAAAAAAGUUCUUAAUUGUUCUGGAUGAUGUCUGGACCGAAGAUUAUGACAAUUGGAAUUCUCUUAUAAAGCCUCUUCGGUGCGGUGCUAAAGGAAGUAAAAUUCUUGUAACAACCCGUAAUGAAAAGGUUGUUUCUAUGGUCCAAACUUUUCAAGGUCACUACUCUCUUAAGCAAUUGUCUGAUGAGGAUUGUUGGUAUGUGUUUGCAAAACAUGCUUGCCUUUCUCAAGAAAAAUCCACUGAGAAUAUGGAUCUCGAAAAAAUUGGGAAAGAGAUUGUUAGAAAAUGUAAGGGAUUGCCUAUAGCAGCACAAUCACUUGGAGGUUUGUUGCGAAGGAAACGUGACAUCAGGGAUUGGAAUAAUAUACUCAAUAGUAAUAUUUGGGAAAUUGAUGAAAAUGCGAGUAAGAUCAUUUCAGCACUAAGAAUUAGUUAUCAUUAUCUCCCUUCCUAUUUGAAACGCUGCUUUGUUUAUUGCUCCUUGUAUCCUAAGGAUUAUAAAUUUGAUAAAGACGAUUUGAUCUUGUUGUGGAUGGCAGAAGAUCUUUUACAGCCUCCAGAAAAUGGAAAGACUUUGGAAGAAGUUGGUUAUGAGUAUUUUAAUGACUUAGCUUCAAGAUCUUUUUUUCAACGUUUUGGAAGUGGAAACCGCUCACAGCAUUUUGUGAUGCAUGAUCUGGUGCAUGAUUUAGCAACAUUGAUUGGGGCAAAAUUCUACCUUAGAACAGAAGAACUUGGCAAAGAAACGAAGAUUGAUAACAAGACUCGUCAUUUAUCAUUUAACAAUUUAAGUGAACCAGUGGCGGAUAACUUUGAGAUUUUUGACCGAGCAAAACAUCUUAGGACCGUUUUGACAAUCAGUUUUAGAGGUACUUCAUUCAACCAUGAAAAGGAACUAUGCAUCAUUUUGUUGAAUUUGAAGUGCUUGAGAGUUUUGUCAUUUAAAUUUUUUUGGGAUCUUAAUGCAUUGCCUGACUCGAUAGGUGAGCUGAUUAAUUUGCGUUAUGUGGAUCUCUCUUUCAAAGCUAUGAAGACACUACCGGAGUCAUUGUGUAAUCUGUAUAAUCUACAAACCUUGAAGUUGUACAAUUGUUAUCAACUAAUCAAACUUCCCAAUGGCAUGCAAAAGCUUGUGAAUUUGCGCUAUCUUGAUAUCCGCUAUACUCCAAUGUUAGAAGAUAUGCCUAGUGAAAUGGGCAAAUUAAACCAUUUGCAACAUUUGAGUUGCUUUGUUGUGGGCAAGCAUAAAGAGAAUGGGAUAAAGGAACUGGGACCACUGUCAAAUCUUCACGGAUCACUUUCCAUUAGUAAAUUAGAGAAUGUUAGCAACAACAUUGAAGCAUCACAAGCGAAUAUAAUGGAUAAGAAGUACCUUGAAGAAUUAUCUUUUGAAUGGUCUGAUAAUGCAAAAGACCAAUUUACAAAUUCACAAAGUGAGAUGGAUAUACUAGACAAGUUACAUCCUGCCAAGAACCUAAAAAAGGUGUCUAUAUGGGGAUAUAGAGGCACGAGAUUUCCAGAAUGGAUUGGAGAUCCUUCCUACCAAAAUUUGACUAAGUUGUCUCUAUCUGAUUGUCAUAAUUGUUGUAUUCUUCCACCACUUGGACAAUUACGCUCUCUCAAGGACUUGAGCAUCAAGAUAAUGAGUAUGUUGCAGACUAUUGGAUCUGAAUACGGUGAUUCCUUUUCUGGGAUUCUCUUUCCCACCCUUGAACGUCUUGAAUUUGAUGACAUGCCAUGUUGGGAAGUGUGGCAUCAUCCCCAUGACUCAAAUGCUUAUUUUCCUGUACUCAAGUCUCUUGUGAUUCGUGGUUGUCCCUUAUUGAGGGGAGAUUUGCCAUCUCAUCUUCCUGCUUUGGAAACAAUUCAGAUUGAACAAUGCGACAAAUUUGCUUUUUCUCUCCCACGGGCUCUUGCCAUCCGCAAAUUAGUGAUACGUGAAAACAAUAAAGUAGUGUUGCGAGAGCUACCUCUUUCAUUGGAAGAGAUCGAAAUUCAUGGAAGAGAGGCAACGGAGUCCUUCUUUGAAGUCAUUGCCAUCACCCUACCGAUUUCCCUGAAAAUUGUAAGCAUCGAGAAUUGUUCGUCUGCGAUAUCGUUUCCUGGAGAUUGGUUACCCGCAUCCUUAAAGAGUUUGUCCAUCACAGAUUGUAGAAAUCUAGAUUUCCCAAAGCAAAAGCAGCAGCACGAGUCACUUCAAUGGUUGGAUAUAGAUAGUAGUUGUGGUUCUCUGACAACCCUCCCAUUGGAGACCUUUCCCAACCUCAGUGGUCUCCACAUCUGCCAGUGUGAAAAUCUAGAAUGUGUUUCUGCUCCAAAGACUCUUCAAAAUCUUAACGAAUUUGCCAUUUCUAACUGCCCCAAAUUUGCUUCAUUUCCAAGAGAAGGAUUGUCUCCACCCAAAUUGACAUCAUUGUUAGUCGAAAAAUGUGUUAAUUUAAAGUCAUUGCCUUGUCACGCAAAUACUCUUCUCCCGAAUUUAGAAUCGGUGAGUAUACGAGAUUGCCCAGAAAUGGAGACGUUUUGUGAAGGUGGUAUGCCGCCUAGCUUGAGAAGACUUGAGAUAUAUAAAUGCGAGAAGUUAGUGAGGUGCCCAUCUCUAAGUUUGAUGGACAUGCUCACCGAUCUUACAAUUGAUAAUGUAUGUGAUGGUGUGGAGUCCUUCCCCAAUAAGGAUUGUGCGUUGCUGCCUCCCUCCCUUACCUCUCUAUCGCUAAGCAAUAUGCCAAGUUUGCACACGUUGGACUGCACGGAGCUUCUCCACCUCACGUCCCUCCAAGAAUUAACAAUUGAAGAUUGUUACAUGCUGGAGAAUAUGGCGGGAGAAAGGCUGCCUGCUACUCUAACAAUACUUCAAAUCUUUAAAUGUCCACUGCUGGAAGAACGGUGCCGCAUGAAACAUCCGCAAAUUUGGCCCAAAAUUUCCCACAUCCAAGGCAUUUUGGUUGACCACAAAUGGAUUUAGUAAGCUUCAACUGGGAUUUUCAAUCGGUAAUUUCUUCACUUUGCCUUAAUUUUAAUGCGACUUCCCAAUUUCACUCAUACUCUGCAUCAAUUUUUUUAUUUUUUAAACAAAUUAAAGUUAUAUCCUAAUACUAACCCAUCUUUUGUAUCUACUUUAUUUAUCGUAAACAUCCAUCUCUUUUUCAUGUUGUUUGCAGUUUGUUGUAAGAGGUCGCAUAGGCCUAGAGUCAUAACAAAUAUUUUAUUUCAUAUUUUCAAGUAAAGAUUAUUUAAGUGAAAUUGAUGAGCUGAAAUGCACUGCCUUUUCCUUUUUAUACACAAAAAACUUUUCUAGUGGACCUAUCAGUUGUCUCAAAUAUUAAAAAGCUUUCGAUUAGCCUGAUGAGAAACAUUUUCCUCCAAAAAAAGCCUAGUGGAAACAUGCCAAGUUAGUAAAUGGAUAGAGUGUGUGAAUGAUAAUUCUAUGUAGGAGAUUUUGUUCCUUUGUUCUGUCAACCUCGAACAAUGAUACUCUUUUUAUUUUAAAGGAUUUGAUAUUAGUAGAUCUUCACACUUAUGAUCUUUUUUACAGGUGUGCUUAAACAAAA
RNAcentral lists this long non-coding RNA (9758 nucleotides) under Cicer arietinum (chickpea). RNAcentral describes it as "long non-coding RNA (CARI_LNC000014)". The record is from RNAcentral. Lineage: Eukaryota; Viridiplantae; Streptophyta; Magnoliopsida; Fabales; Fabaceae.